Molecule: ribosomal RNA, 253 nt
Filed under: uncultured bacterium
Lineage: Bacteria
Description: partial 16S ribosomal RNA
Rfam family: Bacterial small subunit ribosomal RNA
Source: RNAcentral
UACGAAGGGGGCUAGCGUUGUUCGGAAUCACUGGGCGUAAAGGGCGCGUAGGCGGCUAUUCAAGUCGGGGGUGAAAGCCUGUGGCUCAACCACAGAAUUGCCUUCGAUACUGUUUGGCUUGAGACCGGAAGAGGACAGCGGAACUGCGAGUGUAGAGGUGAAAUUCGUAGAUAUCGGGAGGAACACCAGUGGCGAAGGCGGCGAUCUGGGAAGAUACUGACGCUGAGGUGCGAAAGCGUGGGGAGCAAACAGG